This 4261-nucleotide long non-coding RNA is filed under the name Coffea arabica (coffee). RNAcentral describes it as "long non-coding RNA (CARA_LNC005846)". The record is from RNAcentral. Lineage: Eukaryota; Viridiplantae; Streptophyta; Magnoliopsida; Gentianales; Rubiaceae.
CUGUAUUUACACUACACGCGACGAAGCCUCCGGCAUGAAAAUAAAUAAUGAGGGGCAAUUUUUGUUUAGGGGAGGAAUCAUCAUCAUCAAACGCUUUCCGCGGAACGAAUAUUCGAGCCCAGGUGCCCUUCGAUUGGUUUAUGUCCAAGUCCUUUGAAAGAUGAAAAGGGCUGCUAGGAUCGGACGAGGCAGGUGUGCUCGGUGGUUGAAACAGGCGUGUGAUUGAGCCAUCGGGAUUUUUUGCCAAUCCCAUGUAGCCAUAGGGGUUUUCAUUAGGAUCAACUGGCUGCUGAACUUGAUCUGACAUGAUGGUUUUCUUGGACAGAUGUUUUGUGGGUAGGAAAGGAUAGAAGGUAUAUUUGUAGAGGCAGCAGAGUCUUGAUAGUUUUCUCUCUGGCUGCGUUGGCUGAUAGGAUUUGUAGUUUAGACGAUUAGUAUACGUGUUUGCCUCACACUCUCAAUACACAAGAACGCCGUUCUAUCCUAUGUUUUUCGAACCGGACCGGAUAGCGACUCGACCGAGGCCAGGGGUCAGGGGUCAAUGGGUUCGACCGGGGGUCGAUAGGGAUCAAACCGGAUGACGUCAUAAAUAAAAAUUAUUUAAAAAUUAAAAUAUUAUAUAUAUAAUAUUUAAUAAUAUGUUGAUAUUAAUAAAGGUAUAUUCAUAUAUAUUUGAUGUUUCAAAUAUAUUUAAUAUGAAAAUACAAAGAAAUUAGAACAAUCAAGUAGCAAUUUAUAUUAUUUAAUAAAUAUUAAUAAGUUUAGAAUUAAAAGUAUGAAUUAAAUUGAAAAAUAACAUCAAAUUUUAGGAUAAUAUUUAUAAAAUAUCAAAUAUUUGAGGUAUAUCAAUAAGUUUUAAUAAUUUAGGGGGUCAAAACAUAAUAUUAAAAAGUUUGAAUUUUUUUUUAAAAAAACACUGUUGAACCGGAAAAUCGGUUUUUUCCGGUCAAACCCGGUCAAAAUCGGUUUUUGACCGACUUUGACCGAGUUUUAAAUUCCCGGUUUUUUAGUAUGGCUCGGGCCGACUAUCUGACCGAUUUUCGAUUCGACCGGUCGGUCCGGUCCGAAUUUCAAAACAGAGGUUCUAUCUGCUAAUUUGUUGUACAACAUGUAGCAAUUGAUUGAACUUUGAAGAUCAGUCAAUAAGUGCUAAGUACCAACAACUCCUUUGUUUUUUUAUUAUUUUUUUAUUUGACCGAGGAGUGGAAUAAUAGUUUUCAUUUUUCAAACUUCCCGGGAAGAUUAAAAUAUUGACCACUUCUUCAACUUGACACGAGAGACCGUCAAAUUUGGCGAUUGAAUUUCGAUUAUUAUUAAUGAGACCGAGGAGGGUUCUUAAUAGGACUGCAAACGAAUCGAGCCGCUCGAGUCAAGCUCGAGUCGAGCUCGAUAUUAAUCGAGCUCGAGCCGGCUCGAAUCAAACUCGAGCUCGAACUCGAGUUCAGAAUAUUAAACUCGUUAGUAUAUAUAUAUAUAUAUUUUUUAUUUAAUAAUAAAAUUAUGUAUAUUAUAUAUAUUUUUUAUUUUUUAUUUUCAUAGUAAAAUUACGUAUAUAUCCUUAAUAUUUUAUUAUUUAUUAAGAAAAAAUAUUAUUUUAUUUAUUUUUUAAAAAUAAAAUAAUUAUUUUUUUUUUCGAGCUCGAGCUCGAAAAUUGCUGGCUCAUCCAGCUCGAGCUCGAGUUUGGUAAAAUUUAGUCAAGAUUCGACUCGAUUAACUCAAAACUCGACUCGACUCGUUUGCAGCUCUAGUUCUUAAGAAGCCCAAAAGUUGAAAAAGAAGUAAAAUCUGGGAGGGUUCCAACUUAUAAGUUGAAGGUGGUUUGGAACGUCCCCGGGUAGCACAGAAGGAGAUUUUGGGAGCAGAUAUUUUGGGAGUUGUUACCCCUAGGGGUGAUUUCUUCUUAAGGGGGUUUGUCAUUUCUUAUCUCUACAAUAACAAAGUUUGUGUAGGCAUUAACUUUGUUUAUUUUCAAAUUUAUUUUUAUCUCUAUUAUUUUUCUAAUGAUUAGCUUCUCCAUUAAUCAUUAUUUCUAUUAUCAACUGAAACACAAAUUUUAUCCAAUCAAAAUUACCUCCCUUCAAUUCUCACAUUCUCCCUUACUAAUGCGUUUUUUACUUCCAAUUGUACAUAUUUCUGUAUAAUACACUUUUUAUCACAUAUUACAUAAAAUAGUUACGCUCAUUUGCACUAUUUUUGUAAUUCUUUCAAUUUAAAAUAUUUUUUGACAAAUUGCACACGCAUUAAGUGUGCCUCGAUAACUAGUAGUAACUAAUAAUGAUGAAUAAAGGGAUACUUUAUUAGUUUGACAAUUUUUUGGACGAUUUUCUCUAUCUUCCAAACAUCCAAGUAAACUGGCACAACAAUUUGAGUUCAAUUUUUAUUACAAACUCCACCCAAAAUAUUCUUGUUUAUUGGUACAUCAGGUAAAAUGCGGUGAAGUUGACCUCUAUUGUUGCAUAAUUAUAUUUCAGUUGUAUAAAAUUGAAAAGACAAGAUGAAAAAUAUAGGACAUGUAUAUUAUUAUUGACAUAGAAAAUCAUUCAACAGAUAUAUUACUUUUCAUUUAGAUGUGAUUAGACUUUACUUUUUCCACUCAACAUGCCAGUAGAUGCACCUCUACUUUCCAUAAAGUUGCAACCUCCCUGUUCUAGUACAGAUGAAAUGUAGAAAAUGGAACUUUACAAAAGGAAAAAACAGCUAAGGAACGAAAAGAUGGGAAAAAAUUUAGGUAACAUGAAAGGCAAUACUAGUAAGUUUUUUUUUUUUCGAUAAGUGCAAAGUUCUGAAUUCAAGGACCUCUUACUUAUUAUUCUUUUUCACUUUAUCAGCCAACCCAAUUCUCAAUGAAUACUAGCAGUAUAAGUUUUGUACUCCGUAUAACUGAUACAACUAUCACCCUGUUACACUACCAUGCAAAUCCAAGACCUUAAUUGUAUUAUUAUCUCUUUGAAAACAGAAGGGCACAGACAAUUUUAUCACUCAUGUAACUAGAUGACAAUUUUGGGACAAGAAAAGUCCAAAUAUUACUACAUCAAAAGUCCAGUUCACUCGAUAUAAUCAAAAGUAGUCCAUACUGCACACAAAUGAAAUUAGCUAGUAAGCCACCAAACAGAAAAGCUAGUUCUACCAUACCAGCGCACUAGCUUUGCUUAGCUGAACUUUUUGGCUUUUGACCUGUUGUAAGAUCAAAAUAGCUUCCCAAAGCACAUACUUUUUCAAGAAGUGGUGGUAGAUUCAACAAGGUCUUUAAUAACAAUGGCUAGUUCUUUAGCCUUUGUGGGAUCUCCAAGCUCAUACCCAUGACAUCCUCCCUCAGCAAACUUGCCUGUCACCGAUACACCUUUCUCUUCUAAUUUCUUCCAAAGCUCAAUCUGCCGAUCUAUCAACAGAUCACCGUCAAAGCCAGUGACCAAAAUCUUCCACCCCAGAGAUUUGACCUGAUCAAAUUGGUCUGGCUUAAUCUUCGCCAUUGGGUUGCAAUACUCAUGAUCGCGGUCAACGCCGAUUGGCAAGCUCAGAUCCCACAUCAGAUCAGUUAACGUCAACGGUACAACCCUGUCGUUGGCGAGCCUCAACUCUGACUCAGUCCUCUCGAUCCCACCAAAGAAUGGCUGAUGCAAUAUCAACCCUUUGAUCUGCAGAGGCAGGAGAUCGUCAACACAUGCAGCUACUUGGAGGCCAACAUGAUAAGCAAUGUUACCACCAGCACUACUGCCCAUCAAGAAAGCCUUAGAAAAAUCAGCAUGUUUUUCCAACCAUUCGUCGUUGGAGUUUUUGAUGAUCCAAUGCAAGGCUUCGAAGCAAUCUUCAUAAGCUGCAGGAAGUCGGUGCUCCGGAGCAAGACGGUACUCGACGGAGACAACUACAGCCGGAAUUUCAGUAACGAUUGGAGUGUACAAAGCAUCAAAUAUGGCUGUAUUUACAGUACACGCGACGAAGCCUCCAGCAUGAAAAUAGAUAAUGAGGGGCAAUUUUUGUUUAGGGGAGGAAUCAUCAUCAUCAAACGCUUUCCGAGGAACGAAUAUUCGAGCCCAGGUGCCCUUCGAUUGGUUUAUGUCCAAGUCCUUUGAAAGAUGAAAAGGGUUGCUGGGAUCGGACGAGGCAGGUGUGCUCGGUGGUUGAAACAGGCGUGUGAUUGAGCCAUCGGGAUUUUUUGCUAUUCCCAGGUAGCCAUAGGGGUUUUCAUUAGGAUCAACUGGCUGCUGAACUUGAUCUGACAUGAUGGUUUUCUUGGACAGAUGUUUUGUAGAUAGUAGAAAGC